This 333-nucleotide long non-coding RNA is filed under the name Ananas comosus (pineapple). RNAcentral's name for it is "long non-coding RNA (ACOM_LNC015755)". The record is from RNAcentral. Lineage: Eukaryota; Viridiplantae; Streptophyta; Magnoliopsida; Poales; Bromeliaceae.
UAAUUAGUAUUUUUAUAAGUAUGCUCAAGAUUUUGUUCGGAAUUGCGGUACGGUUAGAAAAUAUAAUAGCAAAAUAUUUUGUUUAUUUCUGUACAUUAUAUGUCGUUACACAUAUCUCAGUGAAUUAAUUACUCUAUAUAUUUUGUAAUCUCAUUCGAAAGUAUAUAUAUGUUUUCGCCACAACUUUAUUUUGUUGUGGCUCUCAAUACAAAAACGGAUUCUAAAUUUAAAUUCUGUGUGAGAAAAUAAACAAAACUCGCAACAAAAUAGCGUGCAAAUACAUCUCAGAAGAGUCUCUUAUUAAACAUAUAUUAUAUAUUUAUAUAUUCAUUA